GACGAACGCUGGCGGCGUGCCUAAUACAUGCAAGUCGAACGAGAGCGACCGGUGCUUGCACUGGUCAAUCUAGUGGCGAACGGGUGAGUAACACGUGGGUAACCUGCCCAUCAGAGGGGGAUAACAUCCGGAAACGGAUGCUAAAACCGCAUAGGUCUUCGAGCCGCAUGGCUUGAAGAGGAAAAGAGGCGCAAGCUUCUGCUGAUGGAUGGACCCGCGGUGCAUUAGCUAGUUGGUGAGGUAACGGCUCACCAAGGCCGUGAUGCAUAGCCGACCUGAGAGGGUGAUCGGCCACAUUGGGACUGAGACACGGCCCAAACUCCUACGGGAGGCAACAGUAGGGAAUCUUCCGCAAUGGACGCAAGUCUGACGGAGCAACGCCGCGUGAGUGAAGAAGGUUUUCGGAUCGUAAAACUCUGUUGUUAGAGAAGAACAAGUGCUAGAGUAACUGUUAGCGCCUUGACGGUAUCUAACCAGAAAGCCACGGCUAACUACGUG
RNAcentral lists this ribosomal RNA (498 nucleotides) under uncultured bacterium. Its description in RNAcentral is "partial 16S ribosomal RNA". It matches the Rfam family "Bacterial small subunit ribosomal RNA", at positions 28 to 507 of the family's 1533-position model. The record is from RNAcentral.